This 911-nucleotide long non-coding RNA is filed under the name Danio rerio (zebrafish). RNAcentral's name for it is "lncRNA im:7154473 (ENSDARG00000097825.3)". The record is from RNAcentral. Lineage: Eukaryota; Metazoa; Chordata; Actinopteri; Cypriniformes; Danionidae.
GUGAUUUUCUCUCACGCUGGUUGAAAAGAAUCCUCUGCUUUACAGACUGUAGUCUCAUAUUUCUGGAUCUCAUUAAAUCUCCAGCAUUCACAGAUUGAGGUAGUGAGGAAAGGUGAGACACUCUAACUUCUCAGCAAGUGCUACUGAGUGAUAUUUACGCUACUAUUACCGAUUUGGACCAUAAGAAAAACCACGCAUACGUUCAAGAGUCAUAAAUCAGCAGCAUAAUAAUUCCCCAACAUGCACUAAAGACUGAGGCUUGGAGGAUUCAUCGCACAACAAAGGACCUCAGACUGCUGCUCAAAGACCAGCUGUAUUUGUGUCCUGGAACAAGACAGUUCCACUUGUAAGAGCACCGUGUGAAGAUUUGAUUAGUGGAGUAAUAGCACAGUUUUGCUUAAAAUAUUCCAACACACAGCAUUAUGGGUGACACAUCAGAGUUCACAAGAGGACAAAUUGUUGGUGCACGUCUCUCUGGUGCAUCUGUGACCAAGGCAGCAGAUCUUUGUGGUGUAUCAAGAGCCACAGUAUCCAGAGUAACAUCAGCAUACAUCCAAGAAGGACGAACCACAUCCAACAGGAAUAACUGUGGAAGUAAGAGGAAGCUGUCUGAAAGGGAUGUCCGCGUGCUAACCCGGAUUGUAUCUAAAAACCAUGUAACCACAGCUGCCCAAUUCACAGCAGAGUUAAAUGUGCACCUCAAAUCUCCGGUUUCCACCAAAACUGUUCGGCGGGAGCUCCACAGGGUCAAUAUAUAUGGGCAGUUUCCUAUAGCCAAACCUUUGGUUGACUCAUGCGAAUGCCAACCGUCCGUUUCAGUGAAGCCAGGAGAGAAAAUCUUAGGCUGUGGACAAUGUGAAACAUGUAUUGCUCAGGAUUCUGAUACAGAAAGUACUUGAAUCUCAGACUCA